RNAcentral lists this ribosomal RNA (696 nucleotides) under uncultured bacterium. Its description in RNAcentral is "bacterial SSU rRNA". It matches the Rfam family "Bacterial small subunit ribosomal RNA", at positions 32 to 715 of the family's 1533-position model. The record is from RNAcentral.
AACGCUAGCUACAGGCUUAACACAUGCAAGUCGAGGGGAAACGAUAGAGAAAGCUUGCUUUUUCUAGGCGUCGACCGGCGCACGGGUGAGUAACGCGUAUCCAACCUGCCCGUCACUUGGGGAUAACCUUGCGAAAGUAAGACUAAUACCCAAUGAUAUCUCUAGAAGACAUCUGAAGGAGAUUAAAGAUUUAUCGGUGAUGGAUGGGGAUGCGUCUGAUUAGCUUGUUGGCGGGGUAACGGCCCACCAAGGCGACGAUCAGUAGGGGUUCUGAGAGGAAGGUCCCCCACAUUGGAACUGAGACACGGUCCAAACUCCUACGGGAGGCAGCAGUGAGGAAUAUUGGUCAAUGGGCGAGAGCCUGAACCAGCCAAGUAGCGUGCAGGAUGACGGCCCUAUGGGUUGUAAACUGCUUUUAUAAGGGAAUAAAGUGAGUCUCGUGAGACUUUUUGCAUGUACCUUAUGAAUAAGGAUCGGCUAACUCCGUGCCAGCAGCCGCGGUAAUACGGAGGAUCCGAGCGUUAUCCGGAUUUAUUGGGUUUAAAGGGAGCGUAGGCGGACGCUUAAGUCAGUUGUGAAAGUUUGCGGCUCAACCGUAAAAUUGCAGUUGAUACUGGAUGUCUUGAGUGCAGUUGAGGUGCAUGGAAUUCGUGGUGUAGCGGUGAAAUGCUUAGAUAUCACGAAGAACUCCGAUUG